Molecule: ribosomal RNA, 139 nt
Filed under: Salmonella enterica
Lineage: Bacteria; Pseudomonadati; Pseudomonadota; Gammaproteobacteria; Enterobacterales; Enterobacteriaceae
Also listed under: 5 other names
Description: partial 16S ribosomal RNA
Rfam family: Bacterial small subunit ribosomal RNA
Source: RNAcentral
AAAUUGAAGAGUUUGAUCAUGGCUCAGAUUGAACGCUGGCGGCAGGCCUAACACAUGCAAGUCGAACGGUAGCACAGAGAGCUUGCUCUCGGGUGACGAGUGGCGGACGGGUGAGUAAUGUCUGGGAAACUGCCUGAUG